RNAcentral lists this ribosomal RNA (591 nucleotides) under Pichia manshurica. RNAcentral describes it as "eukaryotic LSU rRNA". It matches the Rfam family "Eukaryotic large subunit ribosomal RNA", at positions 38 to 655 of the family's 3401-position model. The record is from RNAcentral. Lineage: Eukaryota; Fungi; Ascomycota; Pichiomycetes; Pichiales; Pichiaceae.
GCAUAUCAAUAAGCGGAGGAAAAGAAACCAACANGNAUUGCCCCAGUAGCGGCGAGUGAAGCGGCAAGAGCUCAGAUUUGAAAUCGUGUUUCGGCACGAGUUGUAGAGUGUAGGCGGGAGUCUCUGUGGAGCGCGGUGUCCAAGUCCCUUGGAACAGGGUGCCUGAGAGGGUGAGAGCCCCGUAGGGUGCUGCGCGAAGCUUUUGAGGCCCUGCUGACGAGUCGAGUUGUUUGGGAAUGCAGCUCCAAGCGGGUGGUAAAUUCCAUCUAAGGCUAAAUAUUGGCGAGAGACCGAUAGCGAACAAGUACUGUGAAGGAAAGAUGAAAAGCACUUUGAAAAGAGAGUGAAACAGCACGUGAAAUUGUUGAAAGGGAAGGGUAUUGGGCUCGACAUGGGGGGUGCGCACCGCUGUCUCUUGUAGGCGGCGCUCUGGGCGCCCUCUGGGCCAGCAUCGGUUCCUGCUGCGGGAGAAGGGGCUCCGGAAAGUGGCUCUUCGGAGUGUUAUAGCCGGGGCCAGAUGCCGCGUGUGGGGACCGAGGACUGCGGCUUCUGUCUCGGAUGCUGGCAUAACGGCGCAAUACCGCCCGUCUU